This 88-nucleotide unclassified non-coding RNA is filed under the name Pseudomonas granadensis. The record is from RNAcentral. Lineage: Bacteria; Pseudomonadati; Pseudomonadota; Gammaproteobacteria; Pseudomonadales; Pseudomonadaceae.
GUAGGAGUGAGCCUGCUCGCGAUGAGGCCGUGUCAGCCAGCAUUAAUGGUGACUGACACACCGCAAUCGCGAGCAGGCUCACUCCUAC